This 401-nucleotide ribosomal RNA is filed under the name uncultured Novosphingobium sp. Its description in RNAcentral is "bacterial SSU rRNA". It matches the Rfam family "Bacterial small subunit ribosomal RNA", at positions 355 to 774 of the family's 1533-position model. The record is from RNAcentral. Lineage: Bacteria; Pseudomonadati; Pseudomonadota; Alphaproteobacteria; Sphingomonadales; Sphingomonadaceae.
UGGGGAAUAUUGGACAAUGGGCGAAAGCCUGAUCCAGCAAUGCCGCGUGAGUGAUGAAGGCCCUCGGGUCGUAAAGCUCUUUUACCAGGGAUGAUAAUGACAGUACCUGGAGAAUAAGCUCCGGCUAACUCCGUGCCAGCAGCCGCGGUAAUACGGAGGGAGCUAGCGUUGUUCGGAAUUACUGGGCGUAAAGCGCACGUAGGCGGCUACUCAAGUCAGAGGUGAAAGCCCGGGGCUCAACCCGAACUGCCUUUGAAACUAGGUGGCUAGAAUCUUGGAGAGGCGAGUGGAAUUCCGAGUGUAGAGGUGAAAUUCGUAGAUAUUCGGAAGAACACCAGUGGCGAAGGCGACUUCGCUGGACAAGUAUUGACGCUGAGGUGCGAAAGCGUGGGGAGCAAACA